Small nuclear RNA from Solanum dulcamara, 98 nucleotides. The record is from RefSeq and is a predicted model, not a curated record. Lineage: Eukaryota; Viridiplantae; Streptophyta; Magnoliopsida; Solanales; Solanaceae.
GUUCCUUCGGGGUGCAUCCAAUAAAAUUGGAAAGAUAUGGAAAAGAUUAGCAUGGCGCGAGGAUGACAAGCACUAAUCAGGAAAUGGUUAAAAAAUUU